GGGGAAUUAGCUCAGUUGGUAGAGCGCUCGCUUUGCAUGCGAGAUGUACCGGGAUCGAUACCCAGAUUCUCCA
Non-coding RNA from Octopus bimaculoides (California two-spot octopus), 73 nucleotides. NCBI's taxonomy places the organism in Eukaryota, Metazoa, Mollusca, Cephalopoda, Octopoda, Octopodidae. The record is from Rfam.